Molecule: unclassified non-coding RNA, 5392 nt
Filed under: Daphnia magna
Lineage: Eukaryota; Metazoa; Arthropoda; Branchiopoda; Diplostraca; Daphniidae
Description: sRSF protein kinase 3, transcript variant X3
Source: RNAcentral
UCCGAGGUAGCCGUUCGUCAGUCGUGUGUGUUUUCGAGUGCAGUUGUGGCACUCUGGUCCGCUCAGAUGCGUAUUUUGGGUGAUUGAUUUUCUUUCUUUCGGUUACCGUGAAACCAUUUUUGUUUUUGUUGAUCCAUCGAUAUGGAUGAGUUUUCCGCUAUGCCACCGUCCGAUCGGUUCGGCGCUUCGUCGACAUCGUCCUCUCCGGCCGACAUGCAUCGUCCCCGUCGUCAUCUGCCGUCUCCGGCCUUGGCGCAAGCAACGUCCUUACUCAGACUGACGCAGACUUAUGGCGGUAGUUUUGAUAUUUGCGACUUGAGCGUAUUGCAUUUGUCACUGACGAGUUCGCCGUCAGCACCUGUCGUAUCUUCGACCGUUCUCCAUCCAUCGGGUCUUAUCGGAGUGGCUGGCCGUAAGCUGCCCGUGCCGCGACGAGCUCAUCCCGCCGAUCACCACAGCAAAUUGUCAUCGCCGGGGCAUCACAUGAGUCAAAGCGAUUUGAUGAUGGCGAGCGUUGCAGAUGCCAUGGAUGAGAUGGAUGCGCUCAUUCGUCCCUCGUCAGGAUCGGCCUCUAUCGGAACCAGCGGUGCAAGCGUUCGCGAUUCGCCGAAACUUUCGUUGUCGAGGAAGUUGCCGGUGCCACCCGUAUCCGCUGCGACCAAAGUUAUCAACCAAUCACGCCGCCUUUUGCCACGACCGUUGUCGUGCGACGUGCCCUGUGUUAGCGAUGCCGAUGUCGCUGCUGGACUCCAGCCGUCCGCCUACCUGCCGACUAGUCAGAGAGCAAGGAGCUCGCAACUGUGCCGACCCUUUUCCUUCGACUACUCUUCCGGCGCCGAGGCCGAACUGGAAGAGGCCGCUCUACUUUAUCAGCCGCAACCGCAACAGGGGACGGCCGGGAGCGAUCCCAGUCUUUUGUAUUUCGAAACGCAGAAUCGUCGUACUCUGAACCGUCAGUCCAGCACCACGUCUUGUCCUGCGUUGGUCCGUCCUUGCGCGUUGUCGCCACGCUCUCCAAAGUACCGAACGGAUGCGUCCUCGUUCAACGGGAGUGUCAGUGGCGGAAGUAGCAUCAACACGACCCCUAGUCCUUUGCCUCUUUUGCAUCCAUCCUUGUCCACGACCGAUCCACCUGCCUACGUCCCAACCGCAGCCCCUGUGCCUUUCUCUAACCCAUCACACCACACCGCCUUACCUUUAUCGAUUGUAUCCAGUCAAGCGGUCGGGACAGCUGGAAUAAUCCCACCUCGUCCUUAUUUGUGGCCGGCCACUCACGAGAAUCCAUCGUUAAUGAUUCCUUCGACCGGUUCGGCCUUUCGUGCCCCGCCACUCGCCUCUCAAUACAGACAGGCUUCGUUGUCUCUCCCGCCAAGCGGACUUGAUCCGACGUUCGAUACCGCCACCGCGGCCACCACUUCUAGCAUUGCUACAACAACAACAUUGGCUAUGCGUCGCCACCGUUUCCAUCACGACGUCGGUGACGAAGGCGGUUCCUUUUGCGGGCCGUUUGGUGAAUUUUCGCAUUACCGAUUGGACAUGCAACGUCCGUCGCGCUCUCGUCAGCCUGUCCGCAAUAGCACCAUCUUGGCGGCCAGGCACGAUGUCAAAGGAUCCAUUUCUGAAACGCUUGAUGAAGAUGAGGAGAUCCUGGGCUCUGAUGAUGACGAACAAGAAGAUCCUAGGGAUUACACCAAAGGUGGUUACCAUCCAGUGAAGAUCGGCGAUCUCUUCCAUAAUCGAUACCAUGUCGUGCGCAAGUUGGGCUGGGGCCAUUUCUCCACUGUCUGGCUCUGCUGGGAUUUAGUGGCGAAACGGUUUGUAGCACUCAAGGUGGUCAAGAGCGCGUCGCAUUACACGGAAACAGCUCUGGACGAGAUCAAGUUGCUUCGUUGCGUUCGAGAGAGCGAUGAAACGGACCGCAAACGGGAGAAAACGGUUCAACUACUCGACGAUUUUAAGAUCAGCGGCAUUAAUGGCACGCACGUCUGUAUGGUCUUCGAAGUGCUCGGCCACAACCUCCUGAAGCUCAUAAUACGGAGUCAAUACCAAGGCAUUCCUCUGCUCAACGUCAAGACCAUCAUCCGCCAGGUCCUUGAAGGUUUAGAUUAUUUGCAUACCAAGUGUCGCAUCAUUCACACAGACAUCAAGCCUGAAAAUAUAUUGAUUUGCGUCGAUGAGCCAUUCAUCCGGAAGUUGGCAGCUGAUGCCACCCAAUGGCAUAAGAUGGGCAUGAAACUUCCCGGAUCUUUAGUGAGCACAGCGCCGAAAGAACUUCAGUCUCCCAGCACGACCAACAUGUCGAAAAGCAAGAAGAAAAAGAUGAAGAAAAAAGCCAAAAAGAAGGCGGAAUUGCUGGAAAAACAGCUUCAACAACUUGAGGAGCUGGAAGAGAAUCUCCAGAUCAACGGAUGUAAAGAUGAAAAGGAAAAGAACGGAACGAGCUUCCAGGCUGCAGAUGAAGCAUGCGCGGCAAAUCCCACUCUCAGGAACGGUGGAACAAACAAUGUGGAACACCGCAAGAGUUUCGCAGAAAUGACUGAGGCCCAAGUUCAUCCAGCUUCGUCCGCCUCUGCACCGGAGGGCUUUCUCAAUCCACAAGAUAAUCCUAAUGGCAACGAGAACUCGACCGGUGAGAGCAGUAUGCGCCGCACGUCUUCUGUUCCAGAUCAGCGAUCAUUGUUGGAUAAAAGACCAGAUCCUGUCCGCGAAGUCUGGCCCGAUAUGUUGGUGAAAAUUGCGGAUUUGGGCAACGCUUGUUGGGUGCAUCAUCACUUUACCGAAGACAUUCAGACGAGGCAAUAUCGCUGUCUGGAAGUUCUGCUCGGUGCUGGGUACGGAACUCCGGCCGAUAUCUGGAGCACGGCUUGCAUGGCCUUCGAGCUCGCCACCGGUGACUAUCUGUUCGAGCCUCAUUCUGGUGAGGAUUAUUCGAGAGACGAGGACCAUUUGGCUCAUAUUAUCGAAUUGUUGGGCGAUAUUCCAAAACACAUUGCGGCUUCGGGAAAAUAUUCUCGCGUCUUUUUUAAUAAAAAGGGAGAGCUGAGACACAUCACAAAACUGAAGCCUUGGGGUCUGUUUGAGGUGCUAACGGAGAAAUAUGAAUGGGAUGUCCAACAAGCGCGCGAUUUUGCCGAAUUUCUUCAUCCCAUGUUGGCGUUUGAUCCCAACCAGCGAGCCACGGCAGCCGAAUGCCUGCUCCAUCCGUGGCUGACGGGUGUACCGCUUGACGGCCAUCAGCAACAGUUGCAAGCCGAACGUCGUCAAUGUCUGUCCUUCGUCCACCAACCGACCGAAGAAGUUGGUGAUUUGGACGAAGAGGAGGAUGACGACGAAGACGAUGAUGACGAUGAAGAUGACGACGAUGAUGAUGAGGAUGAUGAUGACGAGCCUGAUGCAGAAAAACCUCGACAGGUCGUUGUUCCUUCAUGACACUCUUUCGAUUUGAUUGGCAUUUCGUCGCUCACUUUGAUCAACCGCUCGACCACUUCACCAUCAUCAAACACUUCUUCCCCUCACACGAACAUAUACACUCAUGAAACACUCCAUCUUUCUUCCUAUUCGUUGGCUGCGUGUAUUCCAUCUUCCUGUCAUUGAAUCAUGCCCGAGCAGUAAAAAUCAUAUCCAUUUGGUGAGAAAACAAGCAACAGCUCCCUCCACCAUCGUUCCCCUUUUUUUUUUUUUUUUUCUCGGUUUUCAAACCAAAUCAAAUUUAAACUUUUAUUUAUUAUUAUUUUCUUGUCAUAAUUUGAAAAGUGAACGAAAAAGGCCAUCGUAAUGGAAUUCCUUCACUUUAAAUAUCAUCCAUCCAGCAAUCGCUAGGUCAUAUUCAGAAGAGAAGGAAACAACAAUAACACAAACGGUUAAGUUAGCCCAUAACGAGGAAUUUCAUUCCGUUUCGGGAUGCAUUUGCAAAUUAAUUGAUAUGCCGCCUCUUUUAUCUUGAUUUUUUUCCCACAUCUUUGAGCCGUCGUUGUCUGAUGUCAUUUUUAAUUUAUUUUCUCUAAGUUGAAAAGAAGUAAUGUGCGCGUUCACUCUCCUACUUAAGAGUUUGAGAUCGGUGUCGCACGGGUCUUGGAGAAAACGAAAGAUGCGAUGAUGCCGCCAUCGCCCACUGAAUUUAAAUUAUUCUUUGAAUGUCGUCCCGACAUUCCAGACUGCGUGACGGUAUUUAAAACGUCAAGACGUAUCUUGAAGUUCAUCGUCAUUUGUUCCCCCUUUUUUCUUUCUUUUUUUUUUGUUUGGCUUUGUUAAUGAGCAAAUUUGAAGAUGUACGGAACUUGAGUACGAAAGAUGGGUGACUGCGUAGCACUCAUCUGUCUUGACAGGAGACAGAAUGGAAUUGGUACCUUAUGUGAUACGCCGUUGUCGAGGUUUAAGUCCUUUUUUUUCCCUCCCUUUUUGUCACUAGAAUGUCUUUUAUUUUGAAAAUCUCCUUUUGCGGGAGGGGAGGGAAAGGGGGUUAGGGUUUCAAGUGUUGAUGGAAGCUCCCAGGGCAAUAUAUAUCUCACUGAAAUGGCUAAUUUUUUUGUUUUCCUUUUUUUUUUUUUAUUAUUAUUAAUAUUAUUUCUUUUUUUUUAUUAACGUUGGUGCGUGGUCUGUUGCACUCUAUAAUGGUGAAAACAAAAAAACACACAAAAAAAAAGAGGAAAAGCAGGCUACAAAUAGGUAACUGGAUUGCACGGUUCGAUUAGUAGAUUGACUUGCUCGCUCUCUUUGUACACCACCACAAUCCUUAACUCUCUCCUCUUCUCUCUCUCACCCCCUCUCCCCCGUCCUCACCCGAACAUUUAUUAUCCAUUCUUCGAAUUAAAAGUCAAUUGUAGCCCCUGAUAGAAGACAAAAAGAAGACGAAGAAGAAGGAUAUUGUUAUCUUCCGAGUGCAAUUCUACGGUUCUCUCUUGUAUCUGUCCUUUCUGACGCAACCUAUCGCCUCCCUCUCAGAAUUCUGUCACAUUUAUUAUGAUUUCUAUUUUUUCGAUAAUAGAAAAUUUUGAUCAGGAGAAGCAGAUGGACAAUUAUUGGAAUGAGAAGACGUUCAGCUGCGUCUCGUUUUGCGUUUUUUGUAUGUAUGGUCAGUUAACCCCUCAACCUUUAUAAUCGUCAGUCGCGGAUAACGUCAUCAACCCUUUCAAGAAAAAGUAACGAAAAACAAAGAUAAAAUAAACUCCCAUGUUUAUCUUCUUUUGUUGGCUUUUCGUAAUUCUGUUGGAUGGCCGAGACGUUGUUCUCAUGUUUGUCCCUGAUUGUUGAAGAAAUGACACCCUUCUGUGUACCACCGUGUCCGUCUCUCCUCUCUCCCUCCACCGCAAUGGACGACAUCGACGAUAUACACAUCUCAAAUAUUUUACAAGAGAAAAAUAAAUCGAGAGAAAUAAAAUGAACAAAUAAAUCA